CCACGGCGAACGGGUGAGUAAUACCUAGGAACAUCCCUCUAGUUGAGCAUAACCUGCCGAAAGGCAGGAUAAUUCUUGAUGUGGCAGCAAUGCUAAAGUCGCAAGACGCUAGAUAAAUGGCCUGGGCACCAUCAGCUAGUUGGUAGGGUAAAGGCCUACCAAGGCUAUGACGGUUAGGGGCCCCGAGAGGGGAAACCCCCACACUGGAACUGCGACACGGUCCAGACUCCUACGGGAGGCAGCAGUUUGGAAUUUUGGACAAUGGGCGAAAGCCUGAUCCAGCGACGCCGCGUGGACGAUGAAGGCCUUCGGGUUGUAAAGUCCUUUUGCAAGGGAAGAAUUUCAUGACGGUACCUUGCGAAUAAGAGGUUGCUAACUCUGUGCCAGCAGCAGCGGUAAUACAGAGACCUCAAGCGUUAUCCGGAAUCAUUGGGCGUAAAGCGUACCGAUAGGUGGUUGUACAAGUCAGAAGUGAAAUCUCCGAGCUCAACUCGGAAUCUGUCUUUUGAAACUGUACGACUAGAGGGGCAAAGAGGAAGCUAGAACGAACGGUGUAGUAGUGAAAUGCGUUGAUAUCGUUCGGAAUACCGAUAGCGAAGGCAGGCUUCUGGGUGCCACC
RNAcentral lists this ribosomal RNA (619 nucleotides) under uncultured bacterium. RNAcentral describes it as "bacterial SSU rRNA". It matches the Rfam family "Bacterial small subunit ribosomal RNA", at positions 93 to 740 of the family's 1533-position model. The record is from RNAcentral.